RNAcentral lists this ribosomal RNA (1024 nucleotides) under Gamsomyces stilboideus. RNAcentral's name for it is "SSU rRNA". It matches the Rfam family "Eukaryotic small subunit ribosomal RNA", at positions 72 to 1105 of the family's 1831-position model. Lineage: Eukaryota; Fungi; Ascomycota; Eurotiomycetes; Sclerococcales. The record is from RNAcentral.
CAUCAUACUGUGAAACUGCGAAUGGCUCAUUAAAUCAGUUAUAAUUUAUUUGAUAGUACCUUUACACAUGGAUAACUGUGGUAAUUCUAGAGCUAAUACAUGCUAAAAACCCCGACUUCGGAAGGGGUGUAUUUAUUAGAUUAAAAACCAAUGCCCUUCGGGGCUCCUUGGUGAUUCAUGAUAACUUAACGAAUCGCAUGGCCUUGCGCCGGCGAUGGUUCAUUCAAAUUUCUGCCCUAUCAACUUUCGAUGGUAAGAUAGAGGCUUACCAUGGUGUUGACGGGUAACGGGGAAUUAGGGUUCGAUUCCGGAGAGGGAGCCUGAGAAACGGCUACCACAUCCAAGGAAGGCAGCAGGCGCGCAAAUUACCCAAUCCCAAUCCGGGGAGGUAGUGACGAUAAAUACUGAUGCAGAGCUCUUUUGGGUUUUGCAAUUGGAAUGAGUACAAUCUAAAUCCCUUAACGAGGAACAAUUGGAGGGCAAGUCUGGUGCCAGCAGCCGCGGUAAUUCCAGCUCCAAUAGCGUAUAUUAAAGUUGUUGCGGUUAAAAAGCUCGUAGUUGAACCUUGGGUUUGGCUGGCCGGUCCGCCUCACCGCGUGUACUGGUCCGGCCGAACCUUUCCUUCUGGGGAAUCUCAUGCCCUUCACUGGGUGUGUUGGGGAACCAGGACUUUUACUUUGAAAAAAUUAGAGUGUUCAAAGCAGGCCUAUGCUCGAAUACAUUAGCAUGGAAUAAUAGAAUAGGACGGCAGUUCUAUUUUGUUGGUUUCUAGGAUCGCCGUAAUGAUUAAUAGGGAUAGUCGGGGGCAUCAGUAUUGAAUUGUCAGAGGUGAAAUUCUUGGAUUUAUUCAAGACUAACUACUGCGAAAGCAUUUGCCAAGGAUGUUUUCAUUAAUCAGUGAACGAAAGUUAGGGGAUCGAAGACGAUCAGAUACCGUCGUAGUCUUAACCAUAAACUAUGCCAACUAGCGAUCGGAUGGUGUUUUAUUUUUGACCCAUUCGGCAGCUUGUGAGAAAUCAAAGUU